Molecule: transfer RNA, 67 nt
Filed under: Monodonta labio
Lineage: Eukaryota; Metazoa; Mollusca; Gastropoda; Trochida; Trochidae
Description: tRNA-Ser
Source: RNAcentral
GGUUACUUAUCUGGGAUAUGCUUUGUCUUGAAAAUAAGGCGGAAGUGUUCGAUUCACUUAGUGGCUU